Molecule: ribosomal RNA, 493 nt
Filed under: uncultured bacterium
Lineage: Bacteria
Description: bacterial SSU rRNA
Rfam family: Bacterial small subunit ribosomal RNA
Source: RNAcentral
AGAGUUGAGUCCUGGCUUAGGACGAACGCUGGCGGCGUGCCUAACACAUGCAAGUCGAGCGAGGAGAUCCUUCGGGAUGAUCCUAGCGGCGGACGGGUGAGUAACACGUGGGCAACCUGCCUCAUAGAGAGGAAUAGCCUUCCGAAAGGGAGAUUAAUACCUCAUAACAUUGCAGUUUCGCAUGGAACAGCAAUUAAAGGAGUAAUCCGCUAUGAGAUGGGCCCGCGGCGCAUUAGCUAGUUGGUGAGGUAACGGCUCACCAAGGCGACGAUGCGUAGCCGACCUGAGAGGGUGAUCGGCCACAUUGGGACUGAGACACGGCCCAGACUCCUACGGGAGGCAGCAGUGGGGAAUAUUGCACAAUGGGGGAAACCCUGAUGCAAGCAACGCCGCGUGAGUGAUGACGGCCUUCGGGUUGUAAAGCUCUGUCUUCAGGGACGAUAAUGACGGUACCUGAGGAGGAAGCCACGGCUAACUACGUGCCAGCAGCCGC